AUUGAACGCUGGCGGCAGGCCUAACACAUGCAAGUCGAACGAGUGGCGGACGGGUGAGUAAUGUCUGGGAAACUGCCUGAUGGAGGGGGAUAACUACUGGAAACGGUAGCUAAUACCGCAUACCAUCGGAUGUGCCCAGAUGGGAUUAGCUAGGAGGUGGGGUAAAGGCUCACCUAGGCGACGAUCCCUAGCUGGUCUGAGAGGAUGACCGGCCACACUGGGACUGGGAGACGGUCCAGACUCCUAAGGGAGGCAGCAGUGGGGAAUAUUGCACAAUGGGCGCAAGCCUGAUGCAGCCAUGCCGCGUGUAUGAAGAAGGCCUUCGGGUUGUAAAGUACUUUCAGCGGGGAGGCGUUACCCGCAGAAGAAGCACCGGCUAACUCCGUGCCAGCAGCCGCGGUAAUAC
This 406-nucleotide ribosomal RNA is filed under the name uncultured bacterium. Its description in RNAcentral is "partial 16S ribosomal RNA". It matches the Rfam family "Bacterial small subunit ribosomal RNA", at positions 30 to 526 of the family's 1533-position model. The record is from RNAcentral.